This 253-nucleotide ribosomal RNA is filed under the name uncultured bacterium. RNAcentral describes it as "partial 16S ribosomal RNA". It matches the Rfam family "Bacterial small subunit ribosomal RNA", at positions 524 to 776 of the family's 1533-position model. The record is from RNAcentral.
UCCGUAGGGUGCGAGCGUUAAUCGGAAUUACUGGGCGUAAAGCGUGCGCAGGCGGUUUUGUAAGUCAGAUGUGAAAGCCCCGGGCUCAACCUGGGAAUUGCAUUUGAAACUACAAGGCUAGAGUGUGUCAGAGGGGGGUAGAAUUCCACGUGUAGCAGUGAAAUGCGUAGAGAUGUGGAGGAAUACCGAUGGCGAAGGCAGCCCCCUGGGAUAACACUGACGCUCAUGCACGAAAGCGUGGGGAGCAAACAGG